This 460-nucleotide ribosomal RNA is filed under the name uncultured bacterium. RNAcentral's name for it is "partial 16S ribosomal RNA". It matches the Rfam family "Bacterial small subunit ribosomal RNA", at positions 338 to 795 of the family's 1533-position model. The record is from RNAcentral.
CCUACGGGAGGCAGCAGUGAGGAAUAUUGGUCAAUGGGCGCUAGCCUGAACCAGCCAAGUAGCGUGAAGGAUGACUGCCCUAUGGGUUGUAAACUUCUUUUAUAUGGGAAUAAAAUGCAGUAUGUAUACUGCUUUGCAUGUACCUUAUGAAUAAGGAUCGGCUAACUCCGUGCCAGCAGCCGCGGUAAUACGGAGGAUCCGAGCGUUAUCCGGAUUUAUUGGGUGUAAAGGGAGCGUAGGCGGGUUGUUAAGUCAGGUGUGAAAGUUUGCGGCUCAACCGUAAAAUUGCAGUUGAUACUGGCAUUCUUGAGUGAGGGUGAGGUAGGCGGAAUUCGUGGUGUAGCGGUGAAAUGCUUAGAUAUCACGAAGAACCCCGAUUGCGAAGGCAGCUUACUAAACUGUGACUGACAUUGAUGCUCGAAAGUGUGGGUAUCAAACAGGAUUAGAUACCCCAGUAGUC